Molecule: transfer RNA, 62 nt
Filed under: Typhlonectes natans (Rio Cauca caecilian)
Lineage: Eukaryota; Metazoa; Chordata; Amphibia; Gymnophiona; Typhlonectidae
Description: tRNA-Cys
Source: RNAcentral
GUAGUGGUGAGCCACGUAAGGUUGCAAACCUUAAAAAGGCGGAGUUUCCCUCCCCCCGGACU